RNAcentral lists this small RNA (92 nucleotides) under Salmonella enterica. Its description in RNAcentral is "partial RtT sRNA". It matches the Rfam family "RtT RNA", at positions 1 to 101 of the family's 130-position model. From Rfam's summary of the family: This family represents a bacterial cis-regulatory element known as RtT RNA. The exact function of RtT is unknown although it is thought that it may be involved in changing the cellular response in relation to amino acid starvation. Lineage: Bacteria; Pseudomonadati; Pseudomonadota; Gammaproteobacteria; Enterobacterales; Enterobacteriaceae. The record is from RNAcentral. RNAcentral also lists the same sequence under 1 other name.
AUAUCUCUCUGUACGGGAAGGAUGAGAAGGUUCGAUUCGAGCGUCAGCGAGAAAGCGUUGCCGCAGGCAACGACCCGAAGGGCGAAGCGCGC